RNAcentral lists this ribosomal RNA (547 nucleotides) under Bacillus pumilus. RNAcentral's name for it is "bacterial SSU rRNA". It matches the Rfam family "Bacterial small subunit ribosomal RNA", at positions 342 to 880 of the family's 1533-position model. Lineage: Bacteria; Bacillati; Bacillota; Bacilli; Caryophanales; Bacillaceae. The record is from RNAcentral.
CGGGAGGCAGCAGUAGGGAAUCUUCCGCAAUGGACGAAAGUCUGACGGAGCAACGCCGCGUGAGUGAUGAAGGUUUUCGGAUCGUAAAGCUCUGUUGUUAGGGAAGAACAAGUGCGAGAGUAACUGCUCGCACCUUGACGGUACCUAACCAGAAAGCCACGGCUAACUACGUGCCAGCAGCCGCGGUAAUACGUAGGUGGCAAGCGUUGUCCGGAAUUAUUGGGCGUAAAGGGCUCGCAGGCGGUUUCUUAAGUCUGAUGUGAAAGCCCCCGGCUCAACCGGGGAGGGUCAUUGGAAACUGGGAAACUUGAGUGCAGAAGAGGAGAGUGGAAUUCCACGUGUAGCGGUGAAAUGCGUAGAGAUGUGGAGGAACACCAGUGGCGAAGGCGACUCUCUGGUCUGUAACUGACGCUGAGGAGCGAAAGCGUGGGGAGCGAACAGGAUUAGAUACCCUGGUAGUCCACGCCGUAAACGAUGAGUGCUAAGUGUUAGGGGGUUUCCGCCCCUUAGUGCUGCAGCUAACGCAUUAAGCACUCCGCCUGGGGAG